RNAcentral lists this non-coding RNA (131 nucleotides) under Protocruzia adhaerens. The record is from RNAcentral. Lineage: Eukaryota; Ciliophora; Spirotrichea.
AACAAAAAAAAACAACAAACAAAUAGAAUGCUAGUUUUGACGGUGGACAAAAUUUCCUGCCUAUUCUCCUUGUUUCCUCUUUUUUGUUUUUCCAGCCGAAGAGGCAACAAUUUUGACAAAACCCGAAGGAA